CGGACGGGUGAGUAACGCGUGGGUAACCUGCCUCAUACAGGGGGAUAACGAUUGGAAACGAUUGCUAAUACCGCAUAAGCGCACAGUACCACAUGGUACAGUGUGAAAAACUCUGGUGGUAUGAGAUGGACCCGCGUCUGAUUAGUUAGUUGGUGAGGUAACGGCCCACCAAGGCAACGAUCAGUAGCCGACCUGAGAGGGUGACCGGCCACAUUGGGACUGAGACACGGCCCAA
RNAcentral lists this ribosomal RNA (235 nucleotides) under uncultured bacterium. Its description in RNAcentral is "partial 16S ribosomal RNA". It matches the Rfam family "Bacterial small subunit ribosomal RNA", at positions 99 to 334 of the family's 1533-position model. The record is from RNAcentral.